GGUCAGGGAUUGCAAUCGAAAGCAGUCCUUAGGCUGACGAAAUUCUUUUAUUCUUCACACUCACUAAGACAGUUGAUAGAUCUGGAUAAGGCAAAGAUUAGAUUUGAGUGGCACUCUCUUAAUGAGUAAAAAGAUCUCUCCUCAAAGCAAAGACUUGCAGCGCUUAUGCUUUUUCCCUUCCUAUUGUCCUUACUAAAGCAGCUAAAUCUAAAACAGAGCUAAAUCGAUGGCACUUCGCCCCCUUAUAGCCUUCUAGUAGCCCCAACCUUGAGAAAUCACAUAAAACCCCCGUAUUUUGAGCAUCAACUUGAUUUCCGCUCUAUGAGAGCCUUUUCAAUUGGAGACUGUUCCAAUUUCUUACUGAGAUAGACAAGCAACGACUUUUGGUUAAGCCAACUAAACUAGACUUAUUGCUUCAUCUUCUGCAUGCUUUUGCUAUCUGUCUUUCCAUCCAGCUUUGCUUUGGGACUUGUUUCACCUUCAGUUUGAAAUCUUAGGUUUUGGGGCCUUCUCUUUUGAAUUGGCGCUGGACUGAGACUAGGCAAUUGAGCUAUAUCAGGGACUUAGCCUUCGACAGGACUGGAAUCUUUGACUGGAAUGAAGCACCUCGAGAGUCGAACUCGAGUACUUCUUACGAAGUGCCUUCUAAAGAAGUGGAUACCAACUUGGUUAGAGUUACCUUUUUUGUUAUAGUUACGAACGAUAGGGAAGGCAAGGGCAAAAGCCUUUACCUUGGUUUAUUUGUUUGAAAGACGAAGGAAAGGUUUUCGGUUGUUUAUCUGCCUUUCUUUCUUCAACUCUGACUUCUCCGCCCCAUUUUCCUAAGUAUCCGAAUCCGAAGGUUCUUUCUUUUUUUGUAUCUGAUUCUGAUGCACUUUCUGCCUCAACUUCCAAUUCUUCAUCGGAUUCCUCACACUAGCUUGAACAGUGCUUUACAAAAGAAGUUUACGCCUGAGAGUGAGAGAUAGAACCAGGUUGGGAAAUAGCUUUCUCACCUACAGAAUAAAUAAAAGGACAAAAACCAGGUGCUUGACUUCUCCAAUCACAUGUCUUAUUAAGCAUACGAAAAUGGAACCUCUUUUCCCAAGAACUCCACCCACUGAUCCUUCCCAUUCGCAACCUCCUCUUUCGACGCUGCUAUGAGCCUGGCCCUAAUCUCAUCCAUGAUAGGAUAGAUAGAAGAUCCAAAAAUCCCUGCACUUGCUUCCUUGCUUGAUGGGAUGGAGGCUUAUAGAUAAGAAAGGCUAUUGAUCAAAGCCCUUUCUAUCCCGUUCCGCUUCUUUGGCUGACACCGGUCGAUAGCCCAUGAUCUGAGACAGAGGCUAGCUCAUUGCCAAAGCAGCUUGGAAAACUCCUAAUAUGAAAAUCAUUUUGCUUGGUUAGUUGGCUAACUUACAUUUCAUUCAAGACUUCCUAGGGCUUUGACGUAGACUGCAUCAAGAGUCUGACUAGUCGGGCUGUGAGGGCGUUUAGGUCUCGAUGAGAGAUCUAAUCUAAGGGUCAUCCAUGCCGAAAGUCGAGUUGGCUAAAGGCUGCUCUAAUACAUUGCCUUCUCGAAAGAUUACUAAAUAGGAUUCGGGCUCUGAUUUCAUCCUAUUUUUUUGAAAUGGUGGUCAUCCGUGCGAAAGAAUGCAUGCAUGAAAUUAGCUGCCACCUUCGUUUCCUUUCACUUUGUUGCUUGACCCGGCCAAUGGCCAAUAGAGAGAGAUUUUUCAGUGGAAUUCUUAUCAUCUGGACAUGAAAAAGAAAUGAAUUGAUAGAGUCAAGUCAUCAGUAUCACCCAGUACAUCCAGUACAUGGGGUACGAGCAGGUAAGCCCAAGAGCGAAAACCUCCUCUUGUUAGAGCCAGUUUUUUCUUCCUUAACCCCCCGCUAUGCCAGCUAAGGGGCUUUUAAGCCUUUCGGGUUAAGCCGGGUAGGUAGGGGAUUUUUCACUCUAGUGCUUUUGCUUCCAAGUCUUGUUCUUCCAAUGUUAACUUCUAGUUUCAAGUCUAACCUCCUAGACACUUCCCCCCAGAUUACAAUAGAGGGCCACUCCUGUUAAAGAGGUUUCCUCUCUCUCAAUCAAAUGUAAAAGAAGGGGUCUCCCCUCUUCGCUACCUUUUCAAGAGGCAGAAGCUACCCUAAGCCCUACAGUUCCUUCCUUUUGUUUUCUUUCAAUGGCUGCUAGUUGAAAUGUCAGCUCUCUUGCUUUCUCUUCACCGGGUGAGGAUCCUAAAUCCAUUUUUCUUUCGCCUGGUAUGAAUUCCUAAUUAGUAGCCCUACCGAUAACAAGGGAUUCGGUAGCUGCGGUUAUUGAAAGGAGCUCCUCUUC
This 2314-nucleotide long non-coding RNA is filed under the name Elaeis guineensis (African oil palm). Its description in RNAcentral is "long non-coding RNA (EGUI_LNC075197)". The record is from RNAcentral. Lineage: Eukaryota; Viridiplantae; Streptophyta; Magnoliopsida; Arecales; Arecaceae.